GAUGAACGCUGGCGGCGUGCCUAAUACAUGCAAGUCGAGCGAACAGACGAGGAGCUUGCUCCUUUGACGUUAGCGGCGGACGGGUGAGUAACACGUGGGUAACCUACCUAUAAGACUGGGAUAACUUCGGGAAACCGGAGCUAAUACCGGAUAAUAUUUCGAACCGCAUGGUUCGAUAGUGAAAGAUGGCUUUGCUAUCACUUAUAGAUGGACCUGCGCCGUAUUAGCUAGUUGGUAAGGUAACGGCUUACCAAGGCAACGAUACGUAGCCGACCUGAGAGGGUGAUCGGCCACACUGGAACUGAGACACGGUCCAGACGCCUACGGGAGGCAGCAGUAGGGAAUCUUCCGCAAUGGGCGAAAGCCUGACGGAGCAACGCCGCGUGAGUGAUGAAGGUCUUCGGAUCGUAAAACUCUGUUAUUAGGGAAGAACAAACGUGUAAGUAACUGUGCACGUCUUGACGGUACCUAAUCAGAAAGCCACGGCUAACUACGUG
RNAcentral lists this ribosomal RNA (497 nucleotides) under uncultured bacterium. RNAcentral's name for it is "partial 16S ribosomal RNA". It matches the Rfam family "Bacterial small subunit ribosomal RNA", at positions 28 to 507 of the family's 1533-position model. The record is from RNAcentral.